Mya arenaria is the source of this 5358-nucleotide RNA transcript. RefSeq lists it as uncharacterized. The transcript is spliced from 7 exons. The record is from RefSeq and is a predicted model, not a curated record. Lineage: Eukaryota; Metazoa; Mollusca; Bivalvia; Myida; Myidae.
AAUUGAUAUCUGUCUUCCUUUAUACACUUGUAUUUUAGCAUGUCUUUUUUCGACGAAAAUGUCUGGAUAUUGUGAUGGCCAUAGCGUUGUGCCAAAGAUCCAUCUCAGUUAAAAGUUUUUUUGUAAAAUUAUGCAUAGACAUAAUAUCUUGUCGUGUAAAUUAAGCCCUAUUGCCAAUGCAAAAUCCAUACAUUUUCCCCAUAGCUGAAAAAAAUGCGUGUUUUAUAUUUAGAAAAAAACAUUUUUAGCAAUAUUUAGGUUUAUUCCCCAAAUAAAACAACAUUAUCAAAUUCAUUUUGUUUCGUUUCAAUGUUUUAAACAGAAGCAUUAUUCUUCUCAAGAUAAAAACAACAUUAUCAAAGUCAAUUUUUCGUUUCAAUAUUUUAAACAGAAGCAUUAUUGUUUUAAAAAUAAAAACAAAAUCCAAUGACACCAAAGAGGUAGAAAAACACAUAGGGACAUUUGUCAUAAUACAUUUUCUUUCUUUGUAGUAAUGUUAUAUGUUUUAAUUGUUUUUAAUAGCAUCGAUGCCUCAAAAUAUUAGUGUCUGGCACGUAUGGUCCACAACCUGGACCGACACACAAAGCCUAAUUGCAAACUAGUAAAAGUUGUUGAUGACAGACAUCAACCAAAACUCUGUCUGUAUGCAACUGAAAUGAUCAGCAAAGACACUUAAUUAAGGUACGAUAAUUUUCUUGCUGAUGUACCUUGGAGAAACUAAAAGGUAAGCGAUAUAAUGUUUUAAUUUUCUCUUUUUUUUAAUUGAAUCAUAAUUAUAGUGAAUACAUUGUGCUCAAACUCUGUUUGAUGUUAAAUAAAGUCUGACGGGUAUUGCUUCUCACUUGGGUCAAAUUUGCCUUAUUGAUUUUCCCUACUGAUACCCAAAUUUGGUAUGAGCUUUAUGAAAUCACAAUGUUUAAUAAUAGACCAUCAUACAACCUCGACCUCUAGUUUCAGUAAGUGUUGAAUUAUUUCUGUCAUCGCUUGUUUGUUUUUUAUGAGAAUUUUCCCUUUAAAAAUUAUAUAUAAUUAGGAUACUACUCUAUUUUUGGCUUAAUUGAAAUGAAUGUUUUAAUUUAUUACAUAGCCUAUGGGCAGACAAGACCUAAUCAAUAAUUGAAUUCCUUGUAAUUGAGAAUAUUUUAUUAGAUGUACACAAUCAUUGCUAUUACAUUCACAUAGACUUAGGUUGAAUCCAGACAUGUAUUUGCGACUUUAUGAAGUAAUUUAAACCAGAACGUUGACAUCAAUGACUCUGCAUUUACGAACUUGUAUACCAUAUUUUGCAGAAAAAUGAUGUCAAGCCUGUGGUUUUUGAACAAUUCAGUAAUAACGAGAAGUUCCUUGUUAAUUGUUUUUGUUGUUGCAAGUUUUUUCAGAAUAUGCAAAACUACAUAUAUAGUGUAUGUGAAAAGCCUUUUAGCAUACGAAAAUAUUGAUUGUUAACACAUUCGGUACUUUAUGUUUCUAAGAAGCAGUGUACAUGGAAUUAAAUAUUUAAUAAAAAAAGUUCACAUUGACUUAAAACUACAAAAUUCUAAUGCAAACAAUGUUUUUGGGGGGUAUUAAAACAGCGAGACAAUAUGUCUGGCAAAGUUUACAUUUACACACGACAAAUUGAAGAUCUCUUGGCUACUGGCAAUGACAUGCUCUCUGACUCAUUAUACGUACUCUGAUAUUUGCCUUCAUUUUUUUCCAAUAUCACCUAAAAGUUGUAUAACGUUUCCGCCCAACCAUUUGAACAUUCCUGAUUGUGUUCACCAUUUAAAUAAGAUUACGGAAAGCCCUGUCCUAUGAUUGCCGUAAAAGCCACAAAGUAAUAAGAAAUGCAAGAAAUUUGUGUUUAAUAGUACAUCAGAAUGUUUGUGGGGAUCUUAAAACUGUUAAAAUGAAAAGUUUUUUUCCAUAAUAAAUUUCAUUAUGUGAUUGGCCUUUGUUGUGACCACACAAUCAUCUAUACUGCAGUUCAUAAAUAGGUUAAUUAACUCUUGUAGUAUGUUCAAUGCUUCUUUGUGUGUUAGAAUUGUACCUUAGAAUGUUUGAACGUUAUCUAAAAUUGUGAAAUGAUUUUAUGACUCUUUAUAUACAUUUGUUUGCAAUGAAGACAUAUACUUUUAUAAUAUCUCAUAAAUGAUCAUGAAUUUACCAUCCCUAAGGGGAGCAUAUUAAAAUCAUCUGUGUGUCCUUCUGUCCCUCCCAGUUGUCUGUGUCAGGACUUGUAUUUAUUUAUCUAUAGACUGAUUUUAAAAUAAAUUUGCAAAUGUGUUAUGCAUACAAAGACGUCAUGUCGCGUGCAAGGCCAAUCUCCCUACCUCUAAUGUCAAGGUUACAGUAUAUAAUUCUGCAUAAUUAUAAGGACAAAUGUGUAUUGUUGGUGGUGUCCGGACUGUUACCUUUUCAUGUAUGAACAGAUCUCAAAGUCAUUGUAAUGUUUUAAUGUAUGGACAGAUUUUUAAAUAACUUUGCACAUUUGACAAGCACGUAAAGACAACAUGUUAAGACCUGUGUUCCUUUUUCAAAGAUCAAGGUCACAGGUUUCUAUGUUUUAUUACCUCACAAAGUAUGCGAAACGUUUUUAAAUAAUGGUGUGUUGCUGUAUGACAAAAGUGUUUUUCGAAAUGACUGUAUGUAAUCUAAAAUUUAAAUUGUAAAAUGAUAUUACAACUCCCGAAAUCUACGUUUGUGAACAUAAGACAAAUACUUUAAUAUCCCAUAAUGGCAUUAUGACAUGGCAGAUCUGCGCGUGGUAUAGGAUUUCAAUGUAUUUCAGAUCCUGAUAAAGAUUGCAGUUGCAGGAACUACAGAGGUCACAUAACCAUCUGCAGAUGCCCUCGGUGCAUCAACAGAAGUCUUAAACAUGCUUAUCAUGGGAAACUGGAGUACUAAUUAGUUCAUACUAGUUUAUUUAACUUACCUGAUUGUGUAAAAGCUAAUUUAUUUUAAACACACUCCAUUUCCUUAGUCACACAUGAUACAAGAUACAAGAUCUGAAACAGAUGCUGUAGGGAACUGUUGGACAGUUGCCCCAUCCACAGUUGUCUCUGAACAUGCCGAAAGGCCGCCUCAAGGGAAUGGCAGCGAGACAAUAUCUGAAAAGAAUGAUGAAGUCAAUUCUGCUAACAGCGAAAUGUCCAUGGAGAGAGAAAUGGAAUUCAAGUUUGAGAUUAAAUGUUUAAGAAGAGAUGGACUCGAACUCGCGUAUCGGUUACUGACACAGACGAGCAAGUGGAUACAGUCAUUCAGGCCCUUGAAAGGAUUUUCUGUAAACAGGAUAACAGGUACCUUGACUAUCUGCUGAGGGUUCUUCUUCCACAAAUGCUUGUGAAGAUCCAUAUGGAAAUACACAUGCCAGCAAUGACCAAAUCUGUCAAGUCUGUAUCACUUUAAUCUCUGGAACUUGGGUGAAAUGUUCACUACAUCAAGACAACAUGUGUAAUCUACACUACAAGGGUGCUUGAUAAAGGUUUAAUUUAAGGUCAAAGGUUCAUGUCAUAGGUUUCAUUUGUAUCCAUUAGUGACGGAUUAGAUAUUUUUAGGAAAAAUUCAGUUGUAUAAUAAUAAACCUUUUAUUAUUCUCUUUUCUAUUUAUGCAUUUCAGAUCCCGUUAAAGACGAUCAUACAGUUGCACAAACUACAGAGAUCUAAGAACCAUAUGAAGAUGCCCUCGUUGCAUCAACAGAAGUCUUGGAACAUGCAGUAAAAUGAUGCUACAGGGAACAAUGGUGCAGUUGCCCCAUCCACUGUCGUCUCUGAAUAUGCUGAAGGACCGUCUGAAGAUUCUGUGGAUGCUAGUGGUUCCCUGGAUGCAUCCGUGGAAGUCCCAGAUUCUUCUGAAGAUUCUGAUGAUUCAUCCAAAGAAAUCUCUGUACCUCAUGAUGACAGCCUUGUUGAUUCCGACUUUGAUCCUGAGCAUGAUGACUCUUCUGACUACUCUAAAAUUAUACCACUAUUCAACUAUAUAGAUGGAAGAAACAACAACUAAAAGCUCUGGAAUUAAACCAGUUUUGAACAAUAUAGAUUCUGACCAAGAUCCUGCGCAUGAUGCAGCUUCUGACUGAUCUGAAAGAACGUAGAUGAGAGAAAUGAAAACACUGUCAUGCCAAACAUAGAUGGACAGUGAUAUGUCAGUAUGUGCAAUGAAGAGGGAAGCAAUUAUGUUGCUUGAGAUUGUCUUUGCGAUAUCUAGUUGCUUUCGUUUUUAAUGGACAUCAUUGUUUGUGCCGCCGUACGUUUCAUUUUAGGAAUUACACUAAACAAUCUACACAUGGUAGAUAAUCAUCAGCUUUGGUACUAUUUCGUCUUGAAUAUGUUACUCAAGUGCAUAGGAGACCAGGCAGAUGACUUUAUGAUUUUGUGUGAACGACUGGACACAUAGCAUCCCGAUUUCUGCCCUGCAGACCAUUGUCAAAAACAAAAUUAACAAGGAACAAAUGCUGCGUUUGGCAGGUGAUAUAAAGAAGCUGCAGAAUUACUUGGAGAAAACUGCUGACGAAUGCCUGUCAACUUUAGACACGGACUUUGAAAAGUCAGGCAGGAAAAUGCUCAACAAAGUUAACUUAUCCCGUCUGGUAAUGUUCAACAGGACAAUAGGUGCAGAAGUAGAAAGGAUGAACGUUUCUGAUUAUAAUUCUAGGAAAGCUACAAGUAAAUUGAAGAGUGCACUCAGUUCAGUAGAAAGGAUGCUUUGUGCCCGAUUUGACCGGGUGGAGAUUAGCGGGUAAAAGGGCAAAAUCGUGCCAGUCCUAUUGCUGCCUAUGGUACAAAAGAGUAUUGACCUUUUGUUGAAAUACAGGAAAGAAUCAGGCGUACAUGAAAAACACCUUCCUAUUUGCGAGGACAAAAUCAAUUAUGACUUCAAAUCCAAUUCGAAUGUGCGACACACUUAGACAUUUUCGAUCAAACCUGAUUUUGACAGCAGAAGAGCUGUUCACGGGCAACAGACUGAGCAAGCAUGUGGCGACAGUGUCUCAGAUUUUGAAUUCAUGACUUGGAGGUGCUUAUGAACUUCGUGGGGCAUGUUAUUGAGGUCCAUAGUUCAUUUUAUCGACUCCCCCAAGGUACCAUUCAGGUUACCAAAACGGGCAAACUUCUGACAGCGUUCAACAAUGAAACAAUUGGCAAAUACAGUGGCAAGUCUCUCGACGAGAUCUCGUUGGAUGAAGGUGAUAGCUCAUCACCAUUUCAUGUAGAGGUUAAUUCAUGUAAAACAAAUAGCAUAAUUUGUUAUUCAAUGUAUAUAAGAUGCAUACCAUGCUUGCAUUGUCAAAUUAUUUUAAGUCAUAUUACAUUUUUAAGAAAAUCACCUAGUUUACAAAUAUAUUGUUCUCCCAUCGAAAUAUUCAUGUAUGAUCUUUUUGA